GAUGAACGCUGGCGGCGUGCCUAACACAUGCAAGUCGAACGAAGCAAUUAAGAUGAAGUUUUCGGAUGGAAUCUUGAUUGACUGAGUGGCGGACGGGUGAGUAACGCGUGGAUAACCUGCCUCACACUGGGGGAUAACAGUUAGAAAUGACUGCUAAUACCGCAUAAGCGCACAGUGCCGCAUGGCAGUGUGUGAAAAACUCCGGUGGUGUGAGAUGGAUCCGCGUCUGAUUAGCCAGUUGGCGGGGUAACGGCCCACCAAAGCGACGAUCAGUAGCCGGACUGAGAGGUUGAACGGCCACAUUGGGACUGAGACACGGCCCAG
Molecule: ribosomal RNA, 324 nt
Filed under: uncultured bacterium
Lineage: Bacteria
Description: bacterial SSU rRNA
Rfam family: Bacterial small subunit ribosomal RNA
Source: RNAcentral